CAAGAGUAUUUACAGCUGGCCUAUGCCAUCUGAAACGUACCAACCUUGUUACCUACCUCUGUGUCCGCCUCGGGGUGCUUAUAGCCCGACCCCCUGCCGGCAUGAACCAACUCAAAACCCUUUGAUUCCUCCUACUAUAGUCUAGAGCUGUAACAAGCAAAAGAUUAAUAAAUCA
This 175-nucleotide unclassified non-coding RNA is filed under the name soil metagenome. RNAcentral describes it as "partial internal transcribed spacer 1". The record is from RNAcentral.